This 434-nucleotide ribosomal RNA is filed under the name uncultured bacterium. RNAcentral's name for it is "bacterial SSU rRNA". It matches the Rfam family "Bacterial small subunit ribosomal RNA", at positions 1068 to 1502 of the family's 1533-position model. The record is from RNAcentral.
UGAAAUAUUGGGUUAAGUCCCGCACCGAGCGCAACCCUUAUCCUUGUUUGCCAGCACUUCGGGUGGGAACUCCAGGGAGACUGCCGGUGAUAAACCGGAGGAAGGUGGGGACGACGUCAAGUCAUCAUGGCCCUUACGAGUAGGGCUACACACGUGCUACAAUGGCGCAUACAGAGGGCGGCCAACUUGCGAAAGUGAGCGAAUCCCAAAAAGUGCGUCGUAGUCCGGAUUGGAGUCUGCAACUCGACUCCAUGAAGUCGGAAUCGCUAGUAAUCGUGGAUCAGAAUGCCACGGUGAAUACGUUCCCGGGCCUUGUACACACCGCCCGUCACACCAUGGGAGUGGGCUGCAAAAGAAGUGGGUAGUUUAACCUUCGGGAGGACGCUCACCACUUUGUGGUUCAUGACUGGGGUGAAGUCGUAACAAGGUAACCG